Molecule: transfer RNA, 78 nt
Filed under: Holophagales bacterium
Lineage: Bacteria; Pseudomonadati; Acidobacteriota; Holophagae; Holophagales
Also listed under: 3 other names
Description: tRNA-Arg
Rfam family: tRNA
About the family: Transfer RNA (tRNA) molecules are approximately 80 nucleotides in length. Their secondary structure includes four short double-helical elements and three loops (D, anti-codon, and T loops).
Source: RNAcentral
GCGCCCAUAGCUCAACUGGAUUAGAGCGUUUGACUACGGAUCAAGAGGUUGGGGGUUCAAGUCCUCCUGGGCGCACCA